GCCGACGCGCUGAGCUGGCCGGAAACGCUACGGCUUUGGGUGCCACGCCGAAAUCCGACCGUACGUCUCGACAUGCGGAACCAAUAUUUCACGAGUAAAGUUCCGCAUCACGUUCGCUGCCGUACGCUGUUAGAAAAGAAGAACAAUGGUCUUUAGGACUUCACUGUGCUGAUGAAACAAGGAGCUGACAUUUUAUCUAUGUCUGCAGGUGUGAACAUCUCCAUGUUGCAUGAGAAGGUUGUUAUCUGGAUGAGAGGAAACAUCGAUGCAAACAUAAACUGAGACUCUACUCCUUCAUUAAACUCUCUGCUGGCUGUUUGAGCUUCUACCAUAUUUGAACUGUCCACUAUAACAGAUGUUCCAGAGGUGAAGGAAAGGUAAACAGCUCCAUGAUGUGAUGGACUUAUUACUGACCUAUAUAUAUGAAAGCAUGUAUGUAACAUAAAAACAAUGUUCUGCCUUUCUAGCUAUUAUCAAAUUUCCUCUACACUUACAAACCUCAAACAAGAAAAAGGACUUUUAUGUUUUUUCGUUUUGGUUUUUAUAGUUAAAAAAAUUCUGUCUGA
Long non-coding RNA from Acanthochromis polyacanthus (spiny chromis), 566 nucleotides. RefSeq lists it as uncharacterized. The record is from RefSeq and is a predicted model, not a curated record. The transcript has 2 exons. Lineage: Eukaryota; Metazoa; Chordata; Actinopteri; Pomacentridae.